UUCUAGCCCCGAUGGCAGCGGCAUCCUUUUGUUGCUUUCUUUAAGCGACAAAAGAUACAGCGAACAGCGGGAUCAAGC
Molecule: small RNA, 78 nt
Filed under: Flavobacterium caeni
Lineage: Bacteria; Pseudomonadati; Bacteroidota; Flavobacteriia; Flavobacteriales; Flavobacteriaceae
Description: Flavo-1 RNA
Rfam family: Flavo-1 RNA
Source: Rfam by way of RNAcentral